Podarcis lilfordi (Lilford's wall lizard) is the source of this 72-nucleotide non-coding RNA. NCBI's taxonomy places the organism in Eukaryota, Metazoa, Chordata, Lepidosauria, Squamata, Lacertidae. The record is from the annotation of a GenBank genome assembly.
AGGGUCACAGCUCAGUGGUAUAGCACCUGCUUUGCAUGCAGAUGAUCUCAGGUUUGAACCCUGGUACCUCUA